Molecule: ribosomal RNA, 253 nt
Filed under: uncultured bacterium
Lineage: Bacteria
Description: partial 16S ribosomal RNA
Rfam family: Bacterial small subunit ribosomal RNA
Source: RNAcentral
UACGUAGGGGGCUAGCGUUGUCCGGAAUCAUUGGGCGUAAAGCGCGCGUAGGCGGCCCGGUAAGUCCGCUGUAAAAGUCAAAGGCUCAACCUUUGAAUGUCAGUGGAUACUGCCGGGCUAGAGUCCGGAAGAGGCGAGUGGAACUCCUGGUGUAGCGGUGGAAUGCGCAGAUAUCAGGAAGAACACCGAUGGCGAAGGCAGGUCUCUGGGCCGAUACUGACGCUGAGGAGCGAAAGCGUGGGGAGCGAACAGG